UUCCCCUGACUUGCCCACAUUAAUGCAACUACUUUUGGCAGUCACAUUCCCCUGACUUGUCAAGGCUACUAAGGAAAACUCUGCAUAGUUAUAGUACCUCCUCACGUUCUGAGGAUGUAAGCAUUGUUGGAAUUUCAUGUUCUUCCACACACUGAAUGUUCUACAUUGUUUGUAUUCCACGGCUGAAUUAUACUGUGUAUUUAAAUUGUAAAUAUUCCUCGUAACACUGUCUUAAUUUUUAUCAGGGCUGUUGCACAAAAGCUCAUUCCUGGGCCAUGGGAAGAACAAUCAGGCCUGGGUGUUGAGGGACUACCCCUACAACAUUUUGGGAUUGACUGUGGAGUAUUCAUGGUUAUGUAUGCCUGGUACAUAACUAUGGAGGCAGCAUUUGAUUUCACCAUUUAUGACAUGCCAUAUCUGAGGAGGUGGUGGUGCAAGGUUUUGCUGGAGAACCUUGAGAUUGAGGGACAUGGUCGAAGAUUUGCACAUUUUACACAGGAAGGCAGGAAGAUGGGGGAAGGAAGUCUGCCACCUGCCUUUUAAUGUCCCUAGGAAGAGGAGACACAACACUUUGGUAACUACACUCCCAGCAAAAAUCGCAAGGGUUUCACAGGAUGGUGCAGUGACCACUGACAUUUUGCAGGCACGUGUUAAUAAUGUUAAUGAAAAUGGCUUGACUUGAGUGUAUAUUACUUGUAAAUCAUAUUUCAUAUCUACAGUUGCCAGAUGACAUUCUCCAGAGUAUCCUUGUCUUUGUCGUUCUAGAAGAUGGCUGCUCUGCAAUCCUCAGGCUGGCUCUGACAUGCCAGAGGUUUAACAGCAUUGUCAGCCAAGAGAAUUUUCAACAAGAGGCACACUUCAGCUGGCUUGAUAGUGUAGUGAAUUGGAAAAAAUAUUCAAAGAGACACAUUCAAAUGUACAGAAAGCUGUACACCAUCUCCAGGUGCAGUCGCCUACAGUGCAGACAGCUUUACAAAGACUGUGGGACUGGCUACCAGGGAAAUGGCCAACAGGGAGUUAUUUUGGGGUUUUACUCCUCAGAUGACCACCCUGGCUACUGUAGCUGGGAUUGCUUCACAGAUGAUGGAGGUCUUGGUACAGACGAAGAGUGAAGUUCGUGUGUGUGCGUGCAAUGUGUCUUCCCUGUAACAAACACGAUCACUUGCAGUACAUGUGGUUCAAU
This is a long non-coding RNA of Carassius carassius (crucian carp), 1183 nucleotides long. RefSeq lists it as uncharacterized. The record is from RefSeq and is a predicted model, not a curated record. Lineage: Eukaryota; Metazoa; Chordata; Actinopteri; Cypriniformes; Cyprinidae. The transcript is spliced from 7 exons.